Molecule: long non-coding RNA, 1474 nt
Organism: Globicephala melas (long-finned pilot whale)
Lineage: Eukaryota; Metazoa; Chordata; Mammalia; Artiodactyla; Delphinidae
Source: RefSeq, a predicted model, not a curated record
GAAAAAAGAGGAUGGGAAAACCGCGGUGGGAGAGGUUUCGAGGGUGUCUAGCGCAGUCCUGGGAAUCCUGCCUGGUCAACCCCGAAUCCAGGAGCCACUAGGCUGGAUCUUUUCCUAGGUUUUGGGCCCUGACUUCUUUACCCCGUGCCAAAGGCAGCCAGAGCCAAGACCCUUGCUAGCAACUACCGGGCAGCACGGAAUCUUCUGGGCUGGGCAAGGGCACAGGAAUUAACUCUUCGCGUCCUUUGGAGUCAAUACUAGUAGUCUUUACCUCAUAGUGUUGCUGGGAGAAUUAAAUUAGUUACUACAUCUCAAGUGAUUAGAAUAGUGUCAGGGACACUGUAAGCAGUCAAUCAGUGAUAGCUCCUAUUAUUACGAAGGUGUUCAUUUGUUGGUGGUCUGUGUCACCUCUAGAUUGUGAGUCUCAUGAGGGCAGAGACUACGUAUUUUCUUUAUCACCGAACUACAGCACCUGACACAAAGCAGCUAUCAAUAAAUUAUUUGUUGAGUUAAUGAAUAAAUGGGUGAUUGAAUGAUAACUUGGACUAGUGGCUAUGCCAAGACCUUCUCUGCCACGUAAGGGGUGCGUUUGUGGAAGUUUGAGGAAGAAGGGCUAUGAUUGGGAAAGGUGGCACAUAGGACUCCUGUGGAUUGCUAUAUCAAGUGACCUGCUCUGCCCUUGGAAAAUGGAAUGUCUGGCAGUUUCCUACAUGGACGACUGUCAGACAGCUGACCCGAAAUUUGAAACUGAGCUGUGGCUAGCUACAUCAGUAUUUGCAUCUUGUACAGUUAGUAAGUAAAGAAGGAAGGGGGAGAGGGCUGAAGCGGAAAACUCAAAAAUAAUGGUGGCAAAUGUUAAGUGAGGGAGAUUGGUGGGGGGGAGCUCUGAAUGAAUCGAAAUGUGUAUGGAGGAGUAUAGUGACCCCAAAAGGAAAUCUGAUAGCGGUCCUAAAGUGACAGUAAUGUUAUCCACCUUUCUGUUCUAGUCAUAGGGUUCCUGAUGAUCUGCCCUCAUGUCCCAGCAUUCUUGGGGGAAGGUACCUGGGCCUUCAGCUAACUGCUGUAGAACAACAGCUCCACCACGGUACCCUGGAAGUUGCGUUAUCCACAUAAACCCCACAGGCAAAGGCUUGAACCACAGCUAAUCUGAGUCUUGGCAAAAUGCCUGUGACCCUCCCAGAGAACAAGAAGAUAGGAGGCUUGCAAGAAGUUGCUUCACGGCCAUCUUCCACUCACCUCUGUAUCUCUCCUCUCCCCUGGGAAACUGUCAAGAGACAGUUUUGCAUCGCCUCCCACCUGCUGAGAUCUGAUGAGAUAAGAGUCUUCCUGACUCAUCCCACUCAGAAGAGAGCUACAGACUAUAAAGUCAUUUAGUUGCAGUCUAGAAUUGGCUUCGGAGCAACUGGAUAUCCCAUAACUACCAUUGCAGUCCUCUGGCCCCUUUUGUUUCAGUGUAAUUCUUUUUUUUUUUUUU